GAUGAACGCUAGCUACAGGCUUAACACAUGCAAGUCGAGGGGCAGCAUGGUCUUAGCUUGCUAAGGCCGAUGGCGACCGGCGCACGGGUGAGUAACACGUAUCCAACCUGCCGUCUACUCUUGGACAGCCUUCUGAAAGGAAGAUUAAUACAAGAUGGCAUCAUGAGUCCGCAUGUUCACAUGAUUAAAGGUAUUCCGGUAGACGAUGGGGAUGCGUUCCAUUAGAUAGUAGGCGGGGUAACGGCCCACCUAGUCUUCGAUGGAUAGGGGUUCUGAGAGGAAGGUCCCCCACAUUGGAACUGAGACACGGUCCAAACUCCUACGGGAGGCAGCAGUGAGGAAUAUUGGUCAAUGGGCGAGAGCCUGAACCAGCCAAGUAGCGUGAAGGAUGACUGCCCUAUGGGUUGUAAACUUCUUUUAUAAAGGAAUAAAGUCGGGUAUGGAUACCCGCUUGCAUGUACUUUAUGAAUAAGGAUCGGCUAACUCCGUG
This 490-nucleotide ribosomal RNA is filed under the name uncultured bacterium. RNAcentral describes it as "partial 16S ribosomal RNA". It matches the Rfam family "Bacterial small subunit ribosomal RNA", at positions 28 to 507 of the family's 1533-position model. The record is from RNAcentral.